This is a non-coding RNA of Podarcis lilfordi (Lilford's wall lizard), 70 nucleotides long. The record is from the annotation of a GenBank genome assembly. Lineage: Eukaryota; Metazoa; Chordata; Lepidosauria; Squamata; Lacertidae.
GGGGUUAGCUCAGUGCUAGAGCGUCUGCCUUGCAAGCCGAAGGCCUCAGGUUCAAUCCCCAGCAUCUCCA